This 253-nucleotide ribosomal RNA is filed under the name uncultured bacterium. RNAcentral describes it as "partial 16S ribosomal RNA". It matches the Rfam family "Bacterial small subunit ribosomal RNA", at positions 524 to 776 of the family's 1533-position model. The record is from RNAcentral.
UACGUAGGGUGCAAGCGUUGUCCGGAAUUAUUGGGCGUAAAGAGCUUGUAGGCGGUUUGUCGCGUCUGCUGUGAAAUUUCGGGGCUCAACCCCGAACUUGCAGUGGGUACGGGCAGACUAGAGUGUGGUAGGGGAGACUGGAAUUCCUGGUGUAGCGGUGAAAUGCGCAGAUAUCAGGAGGAACACCGAUGGCGAAGGCAGGUCUCUGGGCUGAAACUGACGCUCAAGCACGAAAGCGUGGGGAGCAAACAGG